CCGCGCGUCGGGCGUCGGGCGUCGGGCGUCGGGCGCGCGCCGGCCGGCGCGCGCCCGCGUGAUAAAAUCUCGUUCCACUCGACAACGCGCGGCCCA
This 96-nucleotide transfer RNA is filed under the name Burkholderia pseudomallei. RNAcentral describes it as "tRNA-Ala(ggc)". Lineage: Bacteria; Pseudomonadati; Pseudomonadota; Betaproteobacteria; Burkholderiales; Burkholderiaceae. The record is from RNAcentral.